This 337-nucleotide RNase P RNA is filed under the name human gut metagenome. RNAcentral describes it as "Bacterial RNase P class A". It matches the Rfam family "Bacterial RNase P class A". From Rfam's summary of the family: Ribonuclease P (RNase P) is a ubiquitous endoribonuclease, found in archaea, bacteria and eukarya as well as chloroplasts and mitochondria. Its best characterised activity is the generation of mature 5'-ends of tRNAs by cleaving the 5'-leader elements of precursor-tRNAs. The record is from RNAcentral.
AGUCGGUCAGACGGUUGCGGGCAGAAAUGCCCGAGGAAAGUCCGAGCCCCGCAGGGCAGAAUAGCGGCUAACGGCCGCCGAGGGUGACCUUAGGGAAAGUGCAACAGAGAUAUACCGCCGCAAAGGGCUUUGCCUUUGCGGUAAGGGUGGAAAGGCGAGGUAAGAGCUCACCGGUCUUACGGGAACGUCAAGACCCUGCAAACCCUAUUCGGAGCAACGCUGACUGUAACGAUACGCCUGCCCGGCGUGUUACGAAAAGCGGCAUGAGCGCAGGGAGCAAUCCCGCGUCGAGAUAGAUAACCGUCCGCGACAGAACUCGGCUUACCGACCGACUCAU